AGAAUGCCAUCCAAGAAGGGUUGGCUUUGUGGGUAGAGACUUAAGUUCCUGUAUAAAUGAAUUAACAACAAACAACCUCGUUUUACUUUGUAGUGUAAGGUUUUAUAUAAAAGUAGGCAAGCAACAAAGCAUGGACAUAUGACAUGUACUGGUAGAUUUAGUCAUUUAGAUGUAGAAAGUGAUUUUUGGGAAGUAAAGAAGUAUUCGUUCUAUUAAUGGGAGUGAUUUUUGGAUUGUGGGACCUGGUAAAUUUGAAAGCUUCUUCAGCACUGGCCUUCUGUUUAUUUUGGGGUUUCAUGUUCAGGCUUAGUAAUUGAUGAGUG
This 323-nucleotide long non-coding RNA is filed under the name Cucumis sativus (cucumber). RNAcentral describes it as "long non-coding RNA (CSAT_LNC001719)". The record is from RNAcentral. Lineage: Eukaryota; Viridiplantae; Streptophyta; Magnoliopsida; Cucurbitales; Cucurbitaceae.